This 1240-nucleotide ribosomal RNA is filed under the name Escherichia coli. Its description in RNAcentral is "partial 23S ribosomal RNA". It matches the Rfam family "Bacterial large subunit ribosomal RNA", at positions 417 to 1659 of the family's 2925-position model. The record is from RNAcentral. Lineage: Bacteria; Pseudomonadati; Pseudomonadota; Gammaproteobacteria; Enterobacterales; Enterobacteriaceae.
GCGGGACACGUGGUAUCCUGUCUGAAUAUGGGGGGACCAUCCUCCAAGGCUAAAUACUCCUGACUGACCGAUAGUGAACCAGUACCGUGAGGGAAAGGCGAAAAGAACCCCGGCGAGGGGAGUGAAAAAGAACCUGAAACCGUGUACGUACAAGCAGUGGGAGCACGCUUAGGCGUGUGACUGCGUACCUUUUGUAUAAUGGGUCAGCGACUUAUAUUCUGUAGCAAGGUUAACCGAAUAGGGGAGCCGAAGGGAAACCGAGUCUUAACUGGGCGUUAAGUUGCAGGGUAUAGACCCGAAACCCGGUGAUCUAGCCAUGGGCAGGUUGAAGGUUGGGUAACACUAACUGGAGGACCGAACCGACUAAUGUUGAAAAAUUAGCGGAUGACUUGUGGCUGGGGGUGAAAGGCCAAUCAAACCGGGAGAUAGCUGGUUCUCCCCGAAAGCUAUUUAGGUAGCGCCUCGUGAAUUCAUCUCCGGGGGUAGAGCACUGUUUCGGCAAGGGGGUCAUCCCGACUUACCAACCCGAUGCAAACUGCGAAUACCGGAGAAUGUUAUCACGGGAGACACACGGCGGGUGCUAACGUCCGUCGUGAAGAGGGAAACAACCCAGACCGCCAGCUAAGGUCCCAAAGUCAUGGUUAAGUGGGAAACGAUGUGGGAAGGCCCAGACAGCCAGGAUGUUGGCUUAGAAGCAGCCAUCAUUUAAAGAAAGCGUAAUAGCUCACUGGUCGAGUCGGCCUGCGCGGAAGAUGUAACGGGGCUAAACCAUGCACCGAAGCUGCGGCAGCGACGCUGAUGCGUUGUUGGGUAGGGGAGCGUUCUGUAAGCCUGCGAAGGUGUGCUGUGAGGCAUGCUGGAGGUAUCAGAAGUGCGAAUGCUGACAUAAGUAACGAUAAAGCGGGUGAAAAGCCCGCUCGCCGGAAGACCAAGGGUUCCUGUCCAACGUUAAUCGGGGCAGGGUGAGUCGACCCCUAAGGCGAGGCCGAAAGGCGUAGUCGAUGGGAAACAGGUUAAUAUUCCUGUACUUGGUGUUACUGCGAAGGGGGGACGGAGAAGGCUAUGUUGGCCGGGCGACGGUUGUCCCGGUUUAAGCGUGUAGGCUGGUUUUCCAGGCAAAUCCGGAAAAUCAAGGCUGAGGCGUGAUGACGAGGCACUACGGUGCUGAAGCAACAAAUGCCCUGCUUCCAGGAAAAGCCUCUAAGCAUCAGGUAACAUCAAAUCGUACCCCAAACCGACA